GGCUCCAGUUGUCCAGUGAAGGAAGCACCAGGAUCCUGUGUCCUCUCUUUGCCCCAGUCUUCAAUGUCCCAGAUACUCCCAGGAGUCUACUCAUCUUGGUGGCCCUAAUUUGGUAUCCCUCGUGUCCUGCUGGCUGGCAGUAACAGCAGCAGCGGCGGCGCAGGGAGCAGCAGCACAGGGAACAGCAGCAGCACCGGGAGCAGCAGUGGCACAUGGAGCAGCAGUGGCACAGAGAGCAGCAGCGGCACCGGGAGCAGCAUCAGCAGCAGAGGGAGCAGCAGUGGCACAUGGAGCAGCAGCAGCACAGGGAGCUGCAGUGGCAUAGGGAGCCGCAGCGUAGCAGGGAGCAGCAGCAGCAGCACAGGGAGCAGCAGCACAGGGAACAGCAGCAUAGCAGGGAGCAGCAGCGGCGCAGCGAGCAGCAGCACAGGGAGCAGGGAGCAGCAGCAGCAGCAGCAGUACAGGGAGCAGCAGCAGCGGCACAGGGAGCAGCAGCCUCCCCAGGCCCUCGUGCUCUGGCACUUUUAUACCCUCUCAAGAGUCCGCAAGAGCCGGGUGUUGUGGCGAGCACCUUUAAUCCUAGCACUCAAGAGGCAGAAGCAAGCGGAUUUCUGAGUUCAAGGCCAGCCUGGUCUACAAAUCACAGUCAGCUGCUAUGGACAACAUCUGGGAUUAAAACAAAAGCAUGGGGCUGGAGAGAUGGCUCAGUGGUUAAGAGCAUCUUCCAAAAGUCCUGAAUUCAAAUCCCAGCAACCACAUGGUGGCUCACAACCAUCCCUAAUAAGAUCUGACACCUUCUUAUAUUUAUAAAAUAAAGAAAUCUUUAAAAACCACAAAAGCAUAUUUACAUAACAUAAAUAUUGUUGGUUUGUCUGUUUGAUUAAGAUAUAUUUAUUUAUGUAUGAGUGCUCUGUCUGUAUGUACACCUGCACACCAGAAGAGGGCAUCAGUUCUCAGUAUAGAUGGUUGUGAGCCACCAUGUGGUUGUUGGGAUUUGAACUCAGGAAGAACAGACAGUGUUCUUAAUGGCUGAGCCAUCCCUUCAGCCCCCCUGCCCCCAUAACUGUGUCUUUAUAGAAACCGAAAUUCUCACUCUAGCUGGAGAAAUGACUCAGCCGUUAAUAUACUGUCUGUCCAGAAGACCCCAAUUUAGUUUUCUGCACCCAUGUCAGGUGUAACUCCAGCUCCAGGGGAUCUUACACCAUCUUCUGGUAUCUACACACAUGUGGGAUGCACACACACACACACACACACACACACACACACACACACACACACACACACAAAUGAAUGUAAUAAAAAUAGAUUUUUUAAAAAUGUGGAACUGAUUAAUCUGUUUUCCUCAUUUUGAGACAGGAUCUCAUUAUGUAGAGUUGGCUGGCCUAGAACUCGCUGUUUAGAGCAGGCUGGCCUUGAGAUCUGCCUGCCUCUGUUUUGGAGUGCUGGGAUUAAAAGUGUGUACCACUUUGCUUUGUUGUUUUCUUGCGGGUGUAUCUUUUUGUGCUUUGAAUCUUAAAAAAAAAA
RNAcentral lists this long non-coding RNA (1524 nucleotides) under Mus musculus (house mouse). RNAcentral describes it as "predicted gene, 33508". Lineage: Eukaryota; Metazoa; Chordata; Mammalia; Rodentia; Muridae. The record is from RNAcentral.